RNAcentral lists this long non-coding RNA (1104 nucleotides) under Rattus norvegicus (Norway rat). RNAcentral's name for it is "long non-coding RNA NONRATT031431". The record is from RNAcentral. Lineage: Eukaryota; Metazoa; Chordata; Mammalia; Rodentia; Muridae.
CAGUCACAGAAACACCUGGGCUAAAUACCUCUGUGCACUUCGGGUUGGCUCUGUGAAUUUGCAGGGUGCCCUGUAGCUUCCAAAUUUCUCAUUUCUCCACAGUCAACAGCUGCAGGUGUGCACAGCGGGAGCUGCUGAGGUCUGAUGAGGGGGCCUGUGAUGAGAGAUCUGAAUCUAGGAUGACACAUUUGUCUCCCCGGUGGCCGCACCCCACAUUAUGUCUGUUUACAGAGAGUGCAGGGGAGGUCUACCACUUCUGGCCCACCUGGUGGCUCACAGCAACCUGGGGAGAGAACAUAAGGCAGAGGACAUUCUGCACAAGAAGGCACCAUGUUGCAUGCUGAGUCAGGCAGGGGUGACUUUGGAGAGCAGCAGAAAGCAUAAGGCCACCUUAUCCUAAGGGAAUGCAGCAGAUUUUUCCAUGGAAGGAAUUCUUACCCCUAGCCCUCAGCUCACUGUGGAGACGGGAAAAUUAAACAGCCAGCAGAGCUUUGCCUCUGCCAACAACCGCUGACUCUUCAGACGUGCAAUUCGUGCAGCCUGUUUGUGGAAGGCUUGACUUGGCCAGGAAGAGCUCAACCCCUCUCCGUGGUCGGAAGAAAAAAUGCACAAGUCAGGUUAGUUUUUGCAUGUCAUUUGCAUACAUUAAUUUAAUCACACUGGGCUGGGGUUCCCUUCCUGCUCAGUGUGGUGGUUGCCCCUCAGAAGAUAUGUAAGUGAAUGGAUGGAUAGAACAUUCCAGAUCUUUGUUUCUCAAGCCUACACUCAAACCUGUAUGACAUAAGGCACAUCCCUGUAAGUCUAGAGUGGGGCCAUAUUGGCAUGGGAUUUCAUUGGCUUCCCGAAAAUUGGGUUCAUAGUAGCAAGGCAAGUGCAGGUGUAUCUUGAGAACAGUUUGUGGGAGUCAUGCUGUGCAAGUUUGCUUGUGUGGGAGAGUGAAGGCAGCUGGAUCAUUCUUUUUUUAGACACAGUGUUCUAUUUAAAGUCUCACAGUUUUUCAGGAAAUCCAACCCCUUUGUAGAUGUGACCUAGGGGAGCCAGCCACCCUUCUCAGCUCCCAUGGUGCUUCCGUCUUCUCUGCCUUCUCUGUGUCAUUCCUUUGAG